RNAcentral lists this ribosomal RNA (239 nucleotides) under uncultured bacterium. Its description in RNAcentral is "partial 16S ribosomal RNA". It matches the Rfam family "Bacterial small subunit ribosomal RNA", at positions 118 to 354 of the family's 1533-position model. The record is from RNAcentral.
UGAGCAAUCUACCCUUCUCUUUGGAAUAAGCGUUGGAAACGACGUCUAAUGCCGAAUACGACCUCCUUUCGCAUGAUCGGAGGUGGAAAGCUCCGGCGGAGAAGGAUGAGCUCGCGGCCUAUCAGCUAGUUGGUGUGGGUAAUGGCCCACCAAGGCGACGACGGGUAGCCGGCCUGAGAGGGUGACCGGCCACACUGGGACUGAGACACGGCCCAGACCUCCGUACGGGGAGCAGCAGG